RNAcentral lists this ribosomal RNA (471 nucleotides) under uncultured bacterium. RNAcentral's name for it is "SSU rRNA". It matches the Rfam family "Bacterial small subunit ribosomal RNA", at positions 26 to 518 of the family's 1533-position model. The record is from RNAcentral.
AGGACGAACGCUUGCGACGUGCCUAAGAAAUGCAAGUCGAACGGGGUCAUCCUUCGGGGUGGCCUAGUGGCGAACGGUCGCGUAACACGUGGGCAACCUGCCCUGAAGCGGGGGACAACACACCGAAAGGUGUGCUAAUACCGCAUGUGAAUCGUGGUGGCAUCACCGAGGAUUCAAAGCCGCAAGGCACUUCAGGAUGGGCCCGCGGCCUAUCAGCUAGUUGGUGAGGUAACGGCCCACCAAGGCUUCGACGGGUAGCUGGUCUGAGAGGACGAUCAGCCGGAUUGGGACUGAGAUACGGCCCAGACUCCUACGGGGGGCAGCAAUUAGGAAUCUUGCGCAAUGGGCGAAAGCCUGACGCAGCGACGUCGCGUGAAGGAUGAAAUCUUUCGGGAUGUAAACUUCUUUUUCGGGGAAGAACAAUGACGGUACCCGAAGAAUAAGCCCGGCUAACUACGCGCCAGCAACCGC